Molecule: ribosomal RNA, 253 nt
Filed under: uncultured bacterium
Lineage: Bacteria
Description: partial 16S ribosomal RNA
Rfam family: Bacterial small subunit ribosomal RNA
Source: RNAcentral
UACGUAGGGGGCAAGCGUUGUCCGGAUUCAUUGGGCGUAAAGAGCGUGUAGGCGGCCAGGUAGGUCGGUUGUGAAAACUGGAGGCUCAACCUUCAGAGGUCGACCGAAACCAUCUGGCUAGAGUCCGGGAGAGGAGAGUGGAAUUCCUGGUGUAGCGGUGAAAUGCGCAGAUAUCAGGAAGAACACCCGUGGCGAAAGCGGCUCUCUGGAACGGUACUGACGCUGAGGAGCGAAAGCUAGGGGAGCAAACGGG